CCUACGGGAGGCAGCAGUGAGGAAUAUUGGUCAAUGGGCGAGAGCCUGAACCAGCCAAGUCGCGUGAGGGAGUACUGCCCUAUGGGUUGUAAACCUCUUUUGUCGGGGAGCAAAAGCCGGACGUGUCCGGCUGUGAGAGUACCCGAAGAAAAAGCAUCGGCUAACUCCGUGCCAGCAGCCGCGGUAAUACGGAGGAUGCGAGCGUUAUCCGGAUUUAUUGGGGUUAAAGGGUGCGCAGGCGGAUUUUUAAGUCAGCGGUCAAAUCGUGGGGCUCAACCCCAUCCAGCCGUUGAAACUGGGGAUCUAGAGUGUGCGAGAGGUAUGCGGAAUGCGUGGUGUAGCGGUGAAAUGCAUAGAUAUCACGCAGAACCCCGAUUGCGAAGGCAGCAUACCGGUGCACAACUGACGCUCAGGCACGAAAGCGUGGGUAUCGAACAGGACUAGAUACCCUAGUAGUC
Molecule: ribosomal RNA, 458 nt
Filed under: uncultured bacterium
Lineage: Bacteria
Description: partial 16S ribosomal RNA
Rfam family: Bacterial small subunit ribosomal RNA
Source: RNAcentral